UGCAAGUCGAGCGGAGACAGUGAGUAGCUUGCUAUGAGCUGUUUUAGCGGCGGACGGGUGAGUAACGCGUGAGCAACCUUUCCCAGACAGGGGAAUAACACACCGAAAGGUGUACUAAUACCGCAUAAGACCACGGGAUCACAUGGUUCUGAGGUAAAAGAUUUAUCGGUUUGGGGUGGGCUCGCGUCCGAUUAGGUAGUUGGUGAGGUAACGGCCCACCAAGCCGACGAUCGGUAGCCGACCUGAGAGGGUGAUCGGCCACAUUGGGACUGAGACACGGCCCAAACUCCUACGGGAGGCAGCAGUGGGGAAUAUUGGGCAAUGGAGGAAACUCUGACCCAGCAACGCCGCGUGGAGGAAGAAGGUUUUCGGAUCGUAAACUCCUGUCCUUGGAGACGAGUAGAAGACGGUAUCCAAGGAGGAAGCCCCGGCUAACUACGUGCCAGCAGCCGCGGUAAUACGUAGGGGGCAAGCGUUGUCCGGAAUAAUUGGGCGUAAAGGGCGCGUAGGCGGCUCGGUAAGUCUGGAGUGAAAGUCCUGCUUUUAAGGUGGGAAUUGCUUUGGAUACUGUCGGGCUUGAGUGCAGGAGAGGUUAGUGGAAUUCCCAGUGUAGCGGUGAAAUGCGUAGAGAUUGGGAGGAACACCAGUGGCGAAGGCGACUAACUGGACUGUAACUGACGCUGAGGCGCGAAAGUGUGGGGAGCAAACAGGAUUAGAUACCCUGGUAGUCCACACUGUAAACGAUGAAUGCUAGGUGUAGGGGGUAUCGACCCCUUCUGUGCCGCAGUCAACACAAUAAGCAUUCCGCCUGGGGAGUACGGCCGCAAGGUUGAA
RNAcentral lists this ribosomal RNA (834 nucleotides) under uncultured bacterium. RNAcentral's name for it is "bacterial SSU rRNA". It matches the Rfam family "Bacterial small subunit ribosomal RNA", at positions 56 to 898 of the family's 1533-position model. The record is from RNAcentral.